AUUGAACGCUGGCGGCAUGCCUUACACAUGCAAGUCGAACGGCAGCGGGGGAGAAGCUUGCUUUUCCUGCCGGCGAGUGGCGAACGGGUGAGUAAUACAUCGGAACGUGCCCUGUAGUGGGGGAUAACUAGUCGAAAGAUUAGCUAAUACCGCAUACGACCUGAGGGUGAAAGUGGGGGACCGCAAGGCCUCAUGCUAUAGGAGCGGCCGAUGUCUGAUUAGCUAGUUGGUGGGGUAAAGGCCUACCAAGGCGACGAUCAGUAGCUGGUCUGGGAGGACGAUCAGCCACACUGGGACUGGGACACGGCCCAGACUCCUACGGGAGGCAGCAGUGGGGAAUUUUGGACAAUGGGCGAAAGCCUGAUCCAGCAAUGCCGCGUGUGUGAAGAAGGCCUUCGGGUUAUAAAGCACUUUUGUCCGGAAAGAAAUGGCUCUGGUUAAUACCUGGGGUCGAUGACGGUACCGGAAGAAUAAGGACCGGCUAACUACGUGCCAGCCGCCGCCGUAA
This 508-nucleotide ribosomal RNA is filed under the name uncultured bacterium. RNAcentral describes it as "partial 16S ribosomal RNA". It matches the Rfam family "Bacterial small subunit ribosomal RNA", at positions 30 to 523 of the family's 1533-position model. The record is from RNAcentral.